RNAcentral lists this ribosomal RNA (292 nucleotides) under uncultured bacterium. RNAcentral's name for it is "partial 16S ribosomal RNA". It matches the Rfam family "Bacterial small subunit ribosomal RNA", at positions 505 to 796 of the family's 1533-position model. The record is from RNAcentral.
GUGCCAGCAGCCGCGGUAAUACGGAGGAUGCAAGCGUUAUCCGGAAUGAUUGGGCGUAAAGCGUCCGCAGGUGGCGAUGUAAGUCUGCUGUUAAAGAGUCUAGCUCAACUAGAUAAGAGCAGUGGAAACUACAUAGCUAGAGUACGUUCGGGGCAGAGGGAAUUCCUGGUGUAGCGGUGAAAUGCGUAGAGAUCAGGAAGAACACCAGUGGCGAAGGCGCUCUGCUAGGCCGUAACUGACACUGAGGGACGAAAGCUAGGGGAGCGAAUGGGAUUAGAUACCCCCGUAGUCC